UAGGUUUAUAACCAUGAACAACUUCAAAAGGACUCAUGCCUAAAGACCGAUUCACAGAACUGUUAUAUGCAAUUUGGCUAUCGGGAGGAUUAAAUCCCAGUUCCUCAGAUUUUCCUGAACUAGACAUCUUAAUAGGUUACCAAGACUGCGAUUAACAACUUCAGUUUGAUUAUCGGUCUGAUGAUGAUAUGUAGUGGAAAAUUUCAACUUAGUGCCGACCAUGUGCCAUAAGGUUCUCUAGAACUGGCUAGUAAACCGAACAUCCCUAUCGACACAAUGGUCUUAGGAAGGCCAUACAAUUUAACAAUCUCAUUAAAGUACAGCCUAGCAACCUUAGACGCAUCUGAAGUCUUGCUGCAAGGGAUAAAGUGGGCCAUUUUCGAGAAACGAUCCACUAUAACAAAAAUAAAAUCAUGUUUCUUUGGAGUACGUGGGAGUCCUAGUACAAAAUCUAUACUGACGUCUUGCCAAGGACAACUAGGGACGGGAAGAGGUGUUUAAAGUCUAGUGUUUUGUCUCUUCUAUUUGGUCAACUGACAGGUGUUACAAGCACUAACAAUCUUAACUACAUCUGUCUUCAAACGAGGCCAAUAAAAUAGACGUUCAACCUCUUCGAUUGUAUUAUCAUGUCUAAAAUGCCCAGCCAGGCCGCAUGACUUUCCCAAACUAUAAAGUCUCGUACUGAAGUCCGAUGGAUGCACAAUUUUUUGGACCUAAAAAGAUAACCAUCCUCCAGACGAAAACUAUCAGUAGCAUUCAAUUGUCCACUUUGCAAUGCAAGGAAAAUGUCCUUGAAAUCGAGACAUGACUCAUAAUCUUCUUUGAAUCGUUCAAAACCUAUGACCUUGACACUCAUAUUGGUUAAAAGCGGAAUGCGGCGGCUUAAAGCAUCCGCCGCUUGAUUUUCACUGCCC
This 914-nucleotide long non-coding RNA is filed under the name Olea europaea subsp. europaea. The record is from RNAcentral. Lineage: Eukaryota; Viridiplantae; Streptophyta; Magnoliopsida; Lamiales; Oleaceae.